AUUGAACGCUGGCGGCAUGCCUUACACAUGCAAGUCGAACGGCAGCGGGCCUUCGGGUGCCGGCGAGUGGCGAACGGGUGAGUAAUGCAUCGGAACGUGCCAUUGAGUGGGGGAUAACGUAGCGAAAGUUGCGCUAAUACCGCAUAUUCUGUGAGCAGGAAAGCAGGGGACCGCAAGGCCUUGCGCUCUUUGAGCGGCCGAUGUCAGAUUAGCUAGUUGGUGAGGUAAAGGCUUACCAAGGCGACGAUCUGUAGCGGGUCUGAGAGGAUGAUCGCCACACUGGAACUGAGACACGGUCCAGACUCCUACGGGAGGCAGCAGUGGGAAUUUGGACAAUGGGGCAACCCUGAUCCAGCCAUGCCGCGUGAGUGAAGAAGGCCUUCGGUU
This 387-nucleotide ribosomal RNA is filed under the name uncultured bacterium. RNAcentral's name for it is "bacterial SSU rRNA". It matches the Rfam family "Bacterial small subunit ribosomal RNA", at positions 30 to 423 of the family's 1533-position model. The record is from RNAcentral.